UACGGAGGGUGCAAGCGUUAAUCGGAAUUACUGGGCGUAAAGCGCACGCAGGUGGCUGAGUCAGUCGAUUGUGAAAGCCCUGGGCUUAACCUGGGAAUUGCAGUCGAUACUACUCGGCUCGAGUAUGGGAGAGGGCAGUGGAAUUCCCGGUGUAGCGGUGAAAUGCGUAGGUAUCGGGAGGAACAUCAGUGGCGAAGGCGGCUGCCUGGCCCAAUACUGACACUCAGGUGCGACAGCGUGGGGAGCAAACAGG
This 253-nucleotide ribosomal RNA is filed under the name uncultured bacterium. RNAcentral's name for it is "partial 16S ribosomal RNA". It matches the Rfam family "Bacterial small subunit ribosomal RNA", at positions 524 to 776 of the family's 1533-position model. The record is from RNAcentral.